This 707-nucleotide unclassified non-coding RNA is filed under the name Hevea brasiliensis (rubber tree). The record is from RNAcentral. Lineage: Eukaryota; Viridiplantae; Streptophyta; Magnoliopsida; Malpighiales; Euphorbiaceae.
UUGAAAUACAAAAUCAAACAUAGGUAUUCUCAUUAGACUCAUAAGGAAAAUACAAAUUUCUAAUUAAAUAUAACAAUCUAAUAGCUGCUAAAACUAGAAACUGAAAAUUAAACAAACUAGUUAUGCAUUUUAAAACCUUUUCAUUUCCAUAGCCAGUUGGAUGGACCCCUGGGCCUUGUACCUUAACCCUUCAGGCCUCACUAAUUUAAAACGCUACUUUCUUUUGGUGAAGAGUUCGAGCAGAGGGAUCUUUACUUUGCCCACCAAGGCCUAGUGAAGGUUCUUGGAUCAGUCUUGGAAUGUGUCCUAAUUACCCUUAAGUAUAAAAACCUACAAUCCAUAGGAUUUUCCAAUAGGAUGCAAAAUUUUUUGUUCUACUUAGGGUUUAUUAAGCCAUACACUUCUGGUGUCUUGCAUAGGGUUCCAAUUUUUUCUAUACAAGAUUCAUCCUUAUAGAUCCUAUUAUCAAAAGGGAUAUUGGUCAUAGGGCUGUCUAUCCCCACGGCAUGGUAGAUUAUCAGAAAUAAAACAAUCUUUUCCUACAUUCCUGUAUGAUAACUGUCCUUAAAAUAGUUUUUCAAACUAGGUUAAUAAUUAAUUUUCUCUCAAACUACAUCUUAGUGAAUAAAAAUAGUGCAAAUAAUUACAAGAGAUUUAGCAAAACAAAAGAAAAUACCAAACAUAGUAAAUUGAAAUACAAAAUCAAA